UACAGAGGUGGCAAGCGUUGUUCGGAAUUACUGGGCGUAAAGGGCGCGUAGGCGGUUCGUUAAGUCCUGUGUGAAAUCCCCGGGCUCAACCUGGGAACUGCAUUUGUGACUGCAUCGCUGGAGUGCGGCAGAGGGGGAUGGAAUUCCGCGUGUAGCAGUGAAAUGCGUAGAUAUGCGGAGGAACACCGAUGGCGAAGGCAAUCCCCUGGGCCUGCACUGACGCUCAUGCACGAAAGCGUGGGGAGCAAACAGG
Molecule: ribosomal RNA, 253 nt
Filed under: uncultured bacterium
Lineage: Bacteria
Description: partial 16S ribosomal RNA
Rfam family: Bacterial small subunit ribosomal RNA
Source: RNAcentral